RNAcentral lists this ribosomal RNA (506 nucleotides) under uncultured bacterium. RNAcentral's name for it is "partial 16S ribosomal RNA". It matches the Rfam family "Bacterial small subunit ribosomal RNA", at positions 30 to 523 of the family's 1533-position model. The record is from RNAcentral.
AUUGAACGCUGGCGGCAGGCCUAACACAUGCAAGUCGAACGGUAACAGGAAGAAGCUUGCUUCUUUGCUGACGAGUGGCGGACGGGUGAGUAAUGUCUGGGAAACUGCCUGAUGGAGGGGGAUAACUACUGGAAACGGUAGCUAAUACCGCAUAACGUCGCAAGACCAAAGAGGGGGACCUUCGGGCCUCUUGCCAUCGGAUGUGCCCAGAUGGGAUUAGCUAGUAGGUGGGGUAACGGCUCACCUAGGCGACGAUCCCUAGCUGGUCUGAGAGGAUGACCAGCCACACUGGAACUGAGACACGGUCCAGACUCCUACGGGGGGCAGCAGUGGGGAAUAUUGCACAAUGGGCGCAAGCCUGAUGCAGCCAUGCCGCGUGUAUGAAGAAGGCCCUCGGGUUGUAAAGUACUUUCAGCGGGGAGGAAGGGAGUAAAGUUAAUACCUUUGCUCAUUGACGUUACCCGCAGAAGAAGCACCGGCUAACUCCGUGCCAGCCGCCGCCGUAA